AGAGGAAGAGAAUGACACGAGAGCGGACAGAACAGAGGAGGUUGUGGUCUAGGUGGAACCUGCCCCAAAAACACCGAC
Sander lucioperca (pikeperch) is the source of this 78-nucleotide long non-coding RNA. RefSeq lists it as uncharacterized. The transcript is spliced from 3 exons. NCBI's taxonomy places the organism in Eukaryota, Metazoa, Chordata, Actinopteri, Perciformes, Percidae. The record is from RefSeq and is a predicted model, not a curated record.